Ictidomys tridecemlineatus (thirteen-lined ground squirrel) is the source of this 1740-nucleotide long non-coding RNA. Lineage: Eukaryota; Metazoa; Chordata; Mammalia; Rodentia; Sciuridae. The record is from Ensembl.
CAGCCCCUGCUCCCUCCCUCCUGCCGUGGGCCUCUGCCACAGUGGCAGGCUGGCCAGGCCUUUCUGCCUCCGUGGGGCUGGCGUAAAGUGCUGGGUGCCUGGGAGGGAGGCUCAGGCUCGGGGUGGGGUCUGCAGGGAAGCCCGCUGCCCCAGGGGCCCUUAUUUGAGGAUGUAGUUGAUGAAGAGCUGACAAGCCAGGAAGACGCAGAGCAGGAACCAGGUGCGGGGGCUCUGCAGGAGGCCGGGGGCGGGCUGCCCAGCCUGCACCACGGAGCUCAGCAUGGCCGACAGGUGCCUGCAACACAGGGCGGGAGGAGGGCUGGGGCCAGCAUGGCCGCCCUGCCUGACAGUUCCAGGGCCUCUAACCUGCAAGACCUCACAGUCUCCCCGGGCAGCACCCUGGCCCAGGUCUGUGUCGGGCCCUGUAGGUCCCGUCUCUGACAACACAGGAGCUGACGCCCUGGUGGACAGGCCUUUACUCAUGGCCCUGGGACACUCGCUGUCCCAUGUCCCACUCCUGGAACAUUUCUGCCCUUUGGUGUCCUGUCCCUGGUAGGUUUCAGGAGCCAGAGAGGAGCCACAAGGACAGCAGAGCCCAAAUGCUCGCCGGGUGCCUGAGGGGAUCAGCCUCCAGCCUCACCCACUGCUCCAGGUGUUUUGCCAUCAACUCCAUUUUAUAGAGGUGGGGGCUGAGGUGUGACAGGGCAGGGUCCCCAGCCAGGGAGUCCCUCAACCCAGACUGGAGCCCGGCAUGAGCUGGACACUGUUCUGCUCCACCUGUGGUGGCCCAGAGGGUGCCCACCCACCAGGGACACAGAGGGUGGCUCUGGGGCCCUCCUUGCCUGCUCACCUGCCCAGCUGCACCUGCGGGUGCCAAGGAGGGGCUACUCCUAUACUCCCUCCUCUGAGCUGCCAUCUGCCUCCACAAACCUUGGGGUCCUCCCUGGGGCUACUCAGAUUUAGACCUGGGCCCUCAAAAUCUCUGGCCCAGUUUCUGUUAAACUGUGAACUCAUUCUGUUGAGACCCACUGUCUGCAGGGACCCCUCACUGGCUCCCAAGCGCAGCUCCGGAAUAGAGCCGUGUGCCUCCGGCCUGCACAGCUGGCCUCCCCCCACUUGCCCUGGCUGGGGGCCGGCCGCCUGGCCUACCUGUGCAGCUCCUCCUGGGCCUCCCGGAUGGACAGCACGGCCUCCCGCAGUGCCUGCAGCUGCUGUGCCUCCCUCCUGCACCGAGGACAUGGGCUGUCAUCAGCUGCACACCCCAGGCACAGGCAGACACAGGAAGGAAGGGAGAAGCAGGACUCGGGCGUGGAGCCGCUGCUCUCCGUCACCUGGCUGUGGCCAGACGGCUGGUCACUGGCCUUGCGGAGUCGCCGGUCUGGGCCGGACCUCUGCAGGAAGAUGGAGCCAAUGCAGCUGGGAGCCACCUACCACACUCACACUGAUCCCUCGAGGAGCCGUGGCCCGUGUGUGCCAGGAGGAGGUGCUGGAGGAGGUGGCACACAGAGAGCCAAUCCCAUGGCUUUGGAGUCGGACAGAGUGCUUCGGACCUUGCCACCAUGACUGGGCAGCCACAGCCUCUCCCCUCUCAGUGGUAACACAGAGCAGCUGACCCCUCUGCAGGGACACCAGCCGGUCAGCUGGCUCUGCACAUGCUGGGCAUAUGGUGCACGUGGACCAGGCGCCACGCGGCAGAGGCAUCCAGGAGGACUCCAGGUGUCCCCAAGACAGGUCUGUGCC